RNAcentral lists this ribosomal RNA (903 nucleotides) under uncultured eukaryote. RNAcentral's name for it is "SSU rRNA". It matches the Rfam family "Eukaryotic small subunit ribosomal RNA", at positions 532 to 1466 of the family's 1831-position model. The record is from RNAcentral.
UCCUGCAGUUAACCGAUCGCCUGUGCCAAGCAGCCGCGGUAAUUCCAGCUCCAAUAGCGUAUAUUAAAGUUGUUGUGGUUAAAAAGCUCGUAGUUGGAUCUCGGCGGACUGAGGGCGGUUUGCUUGCUAGUAUUACUGCCCUAUAGUCCGUAGUUUUGCCAGAGGUUUCGGGGUGCUCUUAAUCGAGUGUCCCGGGAUGCUGGCAGGUUUACUUUGAAAAAAUUAGAGUGCUCAAAGCAGGCUAUUACGCCUGAAUAUUCGUGCAUGGAAUAAUAGAAUAGGAAGUCGUUUCUAUUUUGUUGGUUUUCGGAAAUCGACUUAAUGAUUAAUAGGGACAGUCGGGGGCAUUUGUAUUCAAACGACAGAGGUGAAAUUCUUGGACCGUUUGAAGACAAACUACUGCGAAAGCAUUUGCCAAGAAUGUUUUCAUUAAUCAAGAACGAAAGUUAAAGGUUCGAAGGCGAUUAGAUACCGCCCUAGUUUUAACCAUAAACGAUGCCAGCUAGCGAUCUGCGGACGUUUUUUUUGUAGACUCCGCAGGAAGCUUCCGGGAAACCAAAGCAUUUGGGUUCCAGGGGAAGUAUGGUUGCAAAGCUGAAACUUAAAGGAAUUGACGGAAGGGCACCACCAGGAGUGGAGCCUGUGGCUUAAUUUGACUCAACACGGGAAAUCUCACCAGGCCCGGACACUGGAAGGAUUGACAGAUUGAUAGCUCUUUCUUGAUUCGGUGGGUGGUGGUGCAUGGCCCGUUCUUAGUUGGUGGAGUGAUUUGUCUGGUUAAUUCCGAUAACGAACGAGACUCUGUCCUGCUAAAUAGUGUCUGCUUCUCUUUUGAGCAGACAAUUCUUCUUAGAGGGACUGGCGACUCUUAGUCGCACGAGAUUGAGCAAUAACAGGUCUGUG